UGGGGUUGCAAAGAGUCGGACAUGACUGAGCGACUUUCACUUCACUUCACUUCAGGGGAAGUUUCAAAGGAAGAAGCGGCCCUGAGAUAGGAAAUAACAAGAGGACAUUCUUGAGUAGAGAAGAAAGAAUAAAGAAAGAUGUAGAGGAGGCCGAGCUCAGGAUAAGUUCAGAAGACAAGGAGUCAGCAAUCUGGUACAUGUCAGGGAGCCAUGAUGGAAGGACGAAGAAGCCAAUUCAGUGCGUGUUUCCAGGACCCGUUCAACAAAUAGCCGAGUUCUGCCAAGAUCUCUGCCGGCUCCCAUGAUUCCAAGCUCUCAGCUUGACUUGGCUCAGUGGACACUCAUUCCCCAUUACCUCACCUUGAAAGGAAAAGAAGGGGUGUUUAAAAUAGGAAGAGGGAUUACAAAAGAAGUUUUUGUUUUUUUUUCCCCCCGGUGAGGGCAUCUAGGGGGAGUCAGUCAAGCCUCAGACUUUUUUUGAAAAAUCUCAUUUUCUCAGAAUCUCUCAUUUCCU
This 514-nucleotide long non-coding RNA is filed under the name Capra hircus (goat). RNAcentral's name for it is "lncRNA (ENSCHIG00010019221.1)". The record is from RNAcentral. Lineage: Eukaryota; Metazoa; Chordata; Mammalia; Artiodactyla; Bovidae.